Molecule: ribosomal RNA, 633 nt
Filed under: Phormidium boryanum BRIP02
Lineage: Bacteria; Bacillati; Cyanobacteriota; Cyanophyceae; Oscillatoriales; Oscillatoriaceae
Description: bacterial SSU rRNA
Rfam family: Bacterial small subunit ribosomal RNA
Source: RNAcentral
UCUCGAAGGGGGUCGUAACGCGUGAGAAUCUGCCGAAGGGACGGGGAUAACCACGGGAAACGGUGGCUAAUACCGGAUGAGCCGAAAGGUAAAAGAUUUAUCGCCUUCGAGGAGCUCGCGUCCGAUUAGCUAGUUGGUGAGGUAAAAGCUCACCAAGGCAGCGAUCGGUAGCUGGUCUGAGAGGAUGAGCAGCCACACUGGGACUGAGACACGGCCCAGACUCCUACGGGAGGCAGCAGUGGGGAAUUUUCCGCAAUGGGCGCAAGCCUGACGGAGCAAUACCGCGUGAGGGAGGAAGGCUCUUGGGUUGUAAACCUCUUUUCUCAGGGAAGAAGUUCUGACGGUACCUGAGGAAUAAGCAUCGGCUAACUCCGUGCCAGCAGCCGCGGUAAUACGGAGGAUGCAAGCGUUAUCCGGAAUUAUUGGGCGUAAAGCGUCCGCAGGUGGCAUUUCCAGUCUGCUGUCAAAGACCAAGGCUCAACCUUGGGCAGGCAGUGGAAACUGAAAAGCUAGAGUGCGGUAGGGGUAGGGGGAAUUCCCAGUGUAGCGGUGAAAUGCGUAGAGAUUGGGAAGAACACCGGUGGCGAAAGCGCCCUACUAGGCCGCAACUGACACUCAGGACGAAGCAAGUCU